UUUAUCUUACGGGGUAGGGGAGCGUUCUGUAAGCCUGUGAAGGUGUAUCGUAAGGUAUGCUGGAGGUAUCAGAAGUGAGAAUGCUGACAUGAGUAGCGAUUAGAAGGGUGAGAAUCCCUUCCGCCGAAAUCCCAAGGGUUCCUGUUCUAUGCUGUUCAGAGCAGGGUGAGUCGGUACCUAAGGCGAGGCCGAAAGGCGUAGUCGAUGGCAAACAGGUUAAUAUUCCUGUACCAAGUAGGAAGGACGGAGAAGGUUAGGUCAGCUGGCUGUUGGAUAUGCCAGUGCAAGCGUAUAGCAUAGUUUACUAUGUAAGGCGUGAUGAUGAGGCACUUGUGCCGAAGUGAUUGAUACCAGCUUCCAGGAAAAGCUCCUACAAUAUAGGCCGUACCCCAAACCAACACAGGUGGGAUGGUAGAGUAUACCAAGGCGUUGAGAGAACCAUGCCUAAGGAACUCGGCAAAAUGCAUCCGUAACUUCGGGAGAAGGAUGACCGAGAUAAUGUGAAUCCCCUUGCGGGAGUAGCAGUAACCGGUGGCACAGAAACGGGGGUAACGACUGUUUAUUAAAAACACAGGUCUAUGCAAAAUCGAAAGAUGAAGUAUAUGGACUGACGCCUGCCCGGUGCUGGAAGGUUAAAUUGAGCUGUGCAAGCAGUGAUAUGAAGCCCCAGUAAACGGCGGCCGUAACUAUAACGGUCCUAAGGUAGCGAAAUUCCUUGUCGGGUAAGUUCCGACCCGCACGAAUGGCGUAACGAUUUCCCCACUGUCUCGGGUGUGGACUCAGCGAAAUUGAACUCUGAGUGAAGAUGCUCAGUAGCCGCGGCUAGACGGAAAGACCCCGUGCACCUUUACUAUAGGUUCGCAUUGAUGUUAGGGCUAACAUGUGCAGGAUAGGUGGGAAACUUUGAAAUGUAGUCGCCAGAUUACAUGGAGUUGUCCUUGAGAUACCACCCUUGUUAUCUUUGACAUCUAACCAAGACCAGUUAUCCUGGUCUGAGACAGUGCGUGCUGGGUAGUUUGACUGGGGCGGUCGCCUCCUAAAGAGUAACGGAGGCGUGCAAAGGUUGGCUCAGAGCGGUCGGAAAUCGCUCGACGAGUAUAAUGGCAAAAGCCAGCCUGACUGCGAGACAGACACGUCAAGCAGGUACGAAAGUAGGUCAUAGUGAUCCGGUGGUCCCGAAUGGAAGGGCCAUCGCUCAACGGAUAAAAGGUACGCCGGGGAUAA
This 1224-nucleotide ribosomal RNA is filed under the name marine metagenome. Its description in RNAcentral is "bacterial LSU rRNA". It matches the Rfam family "Bacterial large subunit ribosomal RNA", at positions 1215 to 2477 of the family's 2925-position model. The record is from RNAcentral.